This 497-nucleotide ribosomal RNA is filed under the name uncultured bacterium. Its description in RNAcentral is "partial 16S ribosomal RNA". It matches the Rfam family "Bacterial small subunit ribosomal RNA", at positions 28 to 507 of the family's 1533-position model. The record is from RNAcentral.
GAUGAACGCUGGCGGCGUGCCUAAUACAUGCAAGUCGAGCGAACGGACGAGAAGCUUGCUUCUCUGAUGUUAACGGCGGACGGGUGAGUAACACGUGGAUAACCUACCUAUAAGACUGGGAUAACUUCGGGAAACCGUAGCUAAUACCGGAUAAUAUUUUGAACCGCAUGGUUCAAAAGUGAAAGACGGUCUUGCUGUCACUUAUAGAUGGAUCCGCGCUGCAUUAGCUAGUUGGUAAGGUAACGGCUUACCAAGGCAACGAUGCAUAGCCGACCUGAGAGGUUGAUCGGCCCCACUGUAACUGAGACACGGUCCAGACUCCUACGGGAGGCAGCAGUAGGGAAUCUUCGUCUAUGGGCGAAAGCCUGACGGAGCACCGCCGCGUGAGUGAUGAAGGUCUUCGGAUCGUAAAACUCUGUUAUUAGGGAAGAACAUAUGUGUAAGUAACUGUGCACAUCUUGCCGGUACCUAAUCAGAAGGCCACGGCUAACUACGUG